UUAUAAUUUUGAACAGCUUCGGACAAAUUAUAUUAAAAUAAAGUUUGAAUAACCAGCUAUUAAAUAUAUCAUUUGAACUUGCCAGGGUUAUCUCUAGUAAUCUCUAUUUGUCUGUUUUGAUUUCUGAGCAUAACCCCUGAAACGAUUUGCCUCAAAUAUUGGGUUGACUUUUACAGGAAAAACUCCAGGUAAAAUUGGGUUUCCAAGCUAGCUUAUAUAAAUAUUAUGUAGAUAGUAAUGUGUUUUUUGAAAAAGGUUGAAAAAUGAUGAUUCAUGAAUUCUUUUCAGAUGCUCUGUCGAGAAUGCAUUCAUAUAUAUCAAUCUUCACGGAUGCACAAAAUUAAGCCAGGAUAUUUAUCAAGAGGAAUGGAAGAUAUGGAGAAAGAAGAAUGAAGAAGGAGUAAAGAAGAAUGAAGAAGGGGGCCGCGGGGCGGAAACUUUUUAGAAGAAAAUACAAGCAAGCAUCUUAGAAAUCCCGGAUACAGAAAUAAGUAUCCUAGAUAUGAAAUUAAACAUCUUAAAUAUCCUUGUUGUAUCCUGGAUAAAUUGCAAAAGUCUUUAAUAUCUUAGAUACAGAAUAUAGUAUCCUGGAUAAAAUAGUCAAUAUCUUAUACAAAAAAAAACAUAAUUGAGAACAACAACAACUACUUUAUCGGGAAAUUAAAAUUUUUUACUUAACCAGGGGUUUGCCCACAAAACAUCCAGAGCGCAACGAACUUGGUCUUGGGAACCCCGGAUAAAUCAACUUCCCUUAAUUUGCCUGUAAAGUAGUUGUAACUAAUUAUAAAACCACAUUAUUAUUAUUUACAUUGGAGUCAGCCUUAUAUCUUAAA
Molecule: long non-coding RNA, 833 nt
Organism: Eurytemora carolleeae
Lineage: Eukaryota; Metazoa; Arthropoda; Copepoda; Calanoida; Temoridae
Exons: 3
Source: RefSeq, a predicted model, not a curated record